GACGAACGCUGGCGGCGUGCUUAACACAUGCAAGUCGAACGGAAAGGCCCCCACCUUGGUGGGGGUGCUCGAGUGGCGAACGGGUGAGUAACACGUGGGUGAUCUGCCCUGUACUUCGGGAUAAGCUUGGGAAACUGGGUCUAAUACCGGAUAGGACCAUGGUUUAGCGUCUCAUGGUGGAAAAAUUAUUGUUUUGGUGCAGGAUGAGCUCGCGGCCUAUCAGCUUGUUGGUGGGGUAAUGGCCUACCAAGGCGUCGACGGGUAGCCGGCCUGAGAGGGUGGACGGCCACAUUGGGACUGAGAUACGGCCCAGACUCCUACGGGAGGCAGCAGUGGGGAAUAUUGCACAAUGGGCGCAAGCCUGAUGCAGCGACGACCGCGUGGGGGAUGACGGCCUUCGGGUGUGUAAACUCCUUUCGUUAGGGACGAAGCCACAUUUUUUUGGGUGUGGUGACGGUACCUUUGUUAAGAAGCACCGGCUAACUACGUGCCAGCAGCCGCGGUAAUACGUAGGGUGCGAGCGUUGUCCGGAAUUACUGGGCGUAAAGAGCUCGUAGGUGGUUUGUUGCGUCGUCUGUGAAAUUCCGGGGCUUAACUUCGGGGUGGCAGGCGAUACGGGCAUAACUAGAGUGCUGUAGGGGAGACUGGAAUUCCUGGUGUAGCGGUGGAAUGCGCAGAUAUCAGGAGGAACACCGAUGGCGAAGGCAGGUCUCUGGGCAGUAACUGACGCUGAGGAGCGAAAGCAUGGGGAGCGAACAGGAUUAGAUACCCUGGUAGUCCAUGCUGUAAACGGUGGCGUUAGGUGUGGGGACCGGUUUGGUUUCUGUGCCGUAGCUAACGCAUUAAGCGCCCCGCCUGGGGAGUACGGCCGCAAGGCUAAAACUCAAAGGAAUUGACGGGGGCCCGCACAAGCGGCGGAGCAUGUGGAUUAAUUCGAUGCAACGCGAUGAACCUACCUGGGUUUGACAUGCACCAGACGGUUGUAGAGAUACGUACCUCCCUUGGUGGGUGGUGUGCAGGUGGUGCAUGGUUGUCGUCAGCUCGUGUCGUGAGAUGUUGGGUUAAGUCCGCCACGAGCGCCACCCUGUCUAUGUGCAGCACUUGGGUGGACCAUAAAACGCGGCUACCGAGAGGUGGUAA
RNAcentral lists this ribosomal RNA (1140 nucleotides) under Corynebacterium sp. oral taxon B00. RNAcentral's name for it is "bacterial SSU rRNA". It matches the Rfam family "Bacterial small subunit ribosomal RNA", at positions 28 to 1171 of the family's 1533-position model. Lineage: Bacteria; Bacillati; Actinomycetota; Actinomycetes; Mycobacteriales; Corynebacteriaceae. The record is from RNAcentral.